UACUAGAAAGAAGAGACUGUUUUAUGUGCAUACUACGUAUGCGAGUUCAUUCGCCUCUCGACCUCUGAGCGGGGCUUCUCCGAGAAACAAUUGAAAGUACGUAAAUAAUAUUCACAAUUUUAUUUUAUAUAUUACCAUCAAUUGUGUGGAGUUUUAUUCAUAUAUGUGCAUGUAUUGACCCCCUUCUUUAAAUUAGAUCGGACACAUGUGGGAUGAACUCCUACCACAUGAUCACAUACGAGCAAUUCAAGAGGAAUUGGCGGGAUUCUUUCUUGAUCACGGCAUACUUAAAGACGGAGAAUACCAUGCGGAUUUGUGAUUGGAUCUUAGGUAGAUGAUGUUAGGAUUGUAAAUAUGUUAUAUUGUAUAUAUGUAGUAGCGUCGGAUAGAUAUACGAAAACUUGUUGUUCGACCAAGCAUGGAGAAAGAGAUGUCGCUUCUCUCUAUAUGUAUAGUAGCUAGCGUCGACCAAGCACGGAGAAAGAGAGGACACUUUUCUCUAUUAGUUAGCUAACACAAUAUGAAACCCCUAAAUUGACCCUCCAAAACCCCCCCAUCCCCCCUUAAAAAACC
Molecule: long non-coding RNA, 573 nt
Filed under: Hordeum vulgare
Lineage: Eukaryota; Viridiplantae; Streptophyta; Magnoliopsida; Poales; Poaceae
Description: long non-coding RNA (HVUL_LNC009190)
Source: RNAcentral